RNAcentral lists this ribosomal RNA (547 nucleotides) under uncultured bacterium. Its description in RNAcentral is "bacterial SSU rRNA". It matches the Rfam family "Bacterial small subunit ribosomal RNA", at positions 287 to 851 of the family's 1533-position model. The record is from RNAcentral.
CCGGACUGAGAGGUUGAACGGCCACAUUGGGACUGAGACACGGCCCAGACUCCUACGGGAGGCAGCAGUGGGGAAUAUUGCACAAUGGGGGAAACCCUGAUGCAGCGACGCCGCGUGGAGGAAGAAGGUCUUCGGAUUGUAAACUCCUGUUGUUGAGGAAGAUAAUGACGGUACUCAACAAGGAAGUGACGGCUAACUACGUGCCAGCAGCCGCGGUAAAACGUAGGUCACAAGCGUUGUCCGGAAUUACUGGGUGUAAAGGGAGCGCAGGCGGGAAGACAAGUUGGAAGUGAAAUCCAUGGGCUCAACCCAUGAACUGCUUUCAAAACUGUUUUUCUUGAGUAGUGCAGAGGUAGGCGGAAUUCCCGGUGUAGCGGUGGAAUGCGUAGAUAUCGGGAGGAACACCAGUGGCGAAGGCGGCCUACUGGGCACCAACUGACGCUGAGGCUCGAAAGUGUGGGUAGCAAACAGGAUUAGAUACCCUGGUAGUCCACACUGUAAACGAUGAAUAGGAGGUGUUGGAGGAUUGACCCCUUCAGUGCCGCAG